RNAcentral lists this microRNA (22 nucleotides) under Callorhinchus milii (elephant shark). Its description in RNAcentral is "eshark_NOVEL_138". The record is from RNAcentral. Lineage: Eukaryota; Metazoa; Chordata; Chondrichthyes; Chimaeriformes; Callorhinchidae.
UAAUGCUGUCCUGCCACACUUU